Molecule: ribosomal RNA, 461 nt
Filed under: uncultured bacterium
Lineage: Bacteria
Description: bacterial SSU rRNA
Rfam family: Bacterial small subunit ribosomal RNA
Source: RNAcentral
UUCCAGACUCCUACGGGAGGCAGCAGUGGGGAAUAUUGCACAAUGGGGGGAACCCUGAUGCAGCGACGCCGCGUGGGUGAAGGAGCACCUCGGUGCGUAAAGCCCUAUCGGCAGGGAAGAAAAGCGAACAGGUUCGCCUGGACGGUACCUGACUAAGAAGCUCCGGCUAACUACGUGCCAGCAGCCGCGGUAAUACGUAGGGAGCGAGCGUUGUCCGGAAUUACUGGGUGUAAAGGGAGCGUAGGCGGGGAUGCAAGUUGGGUGUCAAAACUACCGGCUCAACUGGUAGUCGCACUCAAAACUGCAGCUCUUGAGUGAAGUAGAGGCAGGCGGAAUUCCUAGUGUAGCGGUGAAAUGCGUAGAUAUUAGGAGGAACACCAGUGGCGAAGGCGGCUUACUGGACAGUAACUGACGUUGAGGCUCGAAAGCGUGGGGAGCAAACAGGAUUAGAUACCCGGGUA